UACGUAGGGGGCGAGCGUUGUCCGGAAUGACUGGGCGUAAAGGGCGCGUAGACGGCUUUUUAAGUCUGGAGUGAAAGUCCUGCUUUCAAGGUGGGAAGUGCUUUGGAGACUGGGGAGCUUGAGUGCGGAAGAGGUAAGUGGAAUUCCCAGUGUAGCGGUGAAAUGCGUAGAGAUUGGGAGGAACACCAGUGGCGAAGGCGACUUACUGGGCCGUAACUGACGUUGAUGCGCGAAAGCGUGGGGAGCGAACAGGAUUAGAUACCCUGGUAGUCCCUGAG
Molecule: ribosomal RNA, 278 nt
Filed under: uncultured prokaryote
Description: partial 16S ribosomal RNA
Rfam family: Bacterial small subunit ribosomal RNA
Source: RNAcentral